Molecule: non-coding RNA, 72 nt
Organism: Ictidomys tridecemlineatus (thirteen-lined ground squirrel)
Lineage: Eukaryota; Metazoa; Chordata; Mammalia; Rodentia; Sciuridae
Source: Rfam
AGGGGUAUAGUUCAAUGGUAGAAAACUUGCCUACUCAUCAUGAAGCCCUGGGUUUGAGCCCCAGUACCUCCA